AAAUUGAAGAGUUUGAUCAUGGCUCAGAUUGAACGCUGGCGGCAGGCCUAACACAUGCAAGUCGAACGGUAACAGGAAGCAGCUUGCUGCUUUGCUGACGAGUGGCGGACGGGUGAGUAAUGUCUGGGAAACUGCCUGAUGGAGGGGGAUAACUACUGGAAACGGUAGCUAAUACCGCAUAACGUCGCAAGACCAAAGAGGGGGACCUUCGGGCCUCUUGCCAUCGGAUGUGCCCAGAUGGGAUUAGCUUGUUGGUGGGGUAACGGCUCACCAAGGCGACGAUCCCUAGCUGGUCUGAGAGGAUGACCAGCCACACUGGAACUGAGACACGGUCCAGACUCCUACGGGAGGCAGCAGUGGGGAAUAUUGCACAAUGGGCGCAAGCCUGAUGCAGCCAUGCCGCGUGUAUGAAGAAGGCCUUCGGGUUGUAAAGUACUUUCAGCGGGGAGGAAGGGAGUAAAGUUAAUACCUUUACUCAUUGACGUUACCC
Molecule: ribosomal RNA, 490 nt
Filed under: Escherichia coli
Lineage: Bacteria; Pseudomonadati; Pseudomonadota; Gammaproteobacteria; Enterobacterales; Enterobacteriaceae
Description: bacterial SSU rRNA
Rfam family: Bacterial small subunit ribosomal RNA
Source: RNAcentral